AGUGAACGCUGGCGGCAGGCCUAAUACAUGCAAGUCGAACGGCAGCACAGUGGAGCUUGCUCCAUGGGUGGCGAGUGGCGGACGGGUGAGGAAUACAUGGGAAUCUGCCCAGUCGUGGGGGAUAACGUAUGGAAACGUACGCUAAUACCGCAUGCGCCCUUCGGGGAAAGUCGGGGACCGCAAGGCCUGACGCGAUUGGAUGAGCCCAUGUUCGAUUAGCUAGUUGGCGGGGUAACGGCCCACCAAGGCGACGAUCGAUAGCUGGUCUGAGAGGAUGAUCAGCCACACUGGAACUGAGACACGGUCCAGACUCCUACGGGAGGCAGCAGUAGGGAAUAUUGGACAAUGGGCGCAAGCCUGAUCCAGCCAUGCCGCGUGAGUGAAGAAGGCCCUCGGGUUGUAAAGCUCUUUUGUUGGGGAAGAAAAGCAGUUGGUUAAUACCCGAUUGUUCUGACGGUACCCAAAGAAUAAGCACCGGCUAACUUCGUGCCAGCAGCCG
Molecule: ribosomal RNA, 499 nt
Filed under: uncultured bacterium
Lineage: Bacteria
Description: bacterial SSU rRNA
Rfam family: Bacterial small subunit ribosomal RNA
Source: RNAcentral